GUGAGUGUAGCUCAGAUGGUAGAGCGCAGGAUUGUGGCUCCUGUGGCCGAGGGUUCGAUCCCCUUCACUCACCCCA
This 76-nucleotide transfer RNA is filed under the name Deltaproteobacteria bacterium ADurb.Bin072. Its description in RNAcentral is "tRNA-His". It matches the Rfam family "tRNA". From Rfam's summary of the family: Transfer RNA (tRNA) molecules are approximately 80 nucleotides in length. Their secondary structure includes four short double-helical elements and three loops (D, anti-codon, and T loops). The record is from RNAcentral. Lineage: Bacteria; Deltaproteobacteria. RNAcentral also lists the same sequence under 3 other names.